Molecule: ribosomal RNA, 253 nt
Filed under: uncultured bacterium
Lineage: Bacteria
Description: partial 16S ribosomal RNA
Rfam family: Bacterial small subunit ribosomal RNA
Source: RNAcentral
UACGAAGGGUGCAACCGUUGCUCGGAAUCAUUGGGCGUAAAGCGCACGUAGGCGGCUUCGCAAGUCGGAUGUGAAAUCCCUCGGCUCAACCGAGGACGUGCAUCCGAAACUGCGGAGCUUGAGUAUGGAAGAGGGUCGCGGAAUUCCCGGUGUAGAGGUGAAAUUCGUAGAUAUCGGGAGGAACACCUGUGGCGAAGGCGACCCCCUGGUUGGAUACUGACGCUGAGACGCGAAAGCGUGGGGAGCAAACAGG